GUCAACUCGCGUCGGGGAGCCGGGUUAAGGCGGUGGGUGUAGGUGUUUAUCGGAAUCACUGGGCGUAGAGCUAGGUGAGGCGGUUUGUUAAGUCGUGUGUGCAAGCCCCGGGCUAAACCUGGGAAUUGCAUCCGAUACUGGAGAGCUGGAGUGCGAUAGAGGGGGGUAGAAUUCCUAGUGUAGCGGUUAAAUGCGUAGAUAUUAGGAGGAAUACCGGUGGCGAAGGCGGCCCCCUGGAUCGACACUGACGCUGAGGUGCGAAAGCGUGGGUAGCAAACAGGAUUAGAUACCCCGGUAGUC
RNAcentral lists this ribosomal RNA (300 nucleotides) under uncultured Pyrobaculum sp. RNAcentral describes it as "bacterial SSU rRNA". It matches the Rfam family "Bacterial small subunit ribosomal RNA", at positions 492 to 795 of the family's 1533-position model. Lineage: Archaea; Thermoproteati; Thermoproteota; Thermoprotei; Thermoproteales; Thermoproteaceae. The record is from RNAcentral.